RNAcentral lists this ribosomal RNA (458 nucleotides) under uncultured Thauera sp. Its description in RNAcentral is "bacterial SSU rRNA". It matches the Rfam family "Bacterial small subunit ribosomal RNA", at positions 923 to 1382 of the family's 1533-position model. Lineage: Bacteria; Pseudomonadati; Pseudomonadota; Betaproteobacteria; Rhodocyclales; Zoogloeaceae. The record is from RNAcentral.
GCACAAGCGGUGGAUGAUGUGGAUUAAUUCGAUGCAACGCGAAAACCUUACCUACCCUUGACAUGUCUGGAACCUUGGUGAGAGCCGAGGGUGCCUUCGGGAGCCAGAACACAGGUGCUGCAUGGCUGUCGUCAGCUCGUGUCGUGAGAUGUUGGGUUAAGUCCCGCAACGAGCGCAACCCUUGUCACUAGUUGCCAUCAUUUAGUUGGGCACUCUAGUGAGACUGCCGGUGACAAACCGGAGGAAGGUGGGGAUGACGUCAAGUCCUCAUGGCCCUUAUAGGUGGGGCUACACACGUCAUACAAUGGAUGGUACAAAGGGUCGCCAACCCGCGAGGGGGGAGCCAAUCCCAUAAAGCCAUUCGUAGUCCGGAUCGCAGUCUGCAACUCGACUGCGUGAAGUCGGAAUCGCUAGUAAUCGUGGAUCAGAAUGUCACGGUGAAUACGUUCCCGGGUCUU